ACUUGGCUAGCUCAGUUGGUAGAGCAGGAGACUCUUGAUCUCAGGGUCAUGAGUUCAAACCCUAUGUUGGGCA
This 73-nucleotide transfer RNA is filed under the name Canis lupus familiaris (dog). It matches the Rfam family "tRNA". Rfam says of the family: Transfer RNA (tRNA) molecules are approximately 80 nucleotides in length. Lineage: Eukaryota; Metazoa; Chordata; Mammalia; Carnivora; Canidae. The record is from Rfam by way of RNAcentral. RNAcentral also lists the same sequence under 2 other names.